RNAcentral lists this ribosomal RNA (357 nucleotides) under uncultured bacterium. RNAcentral's name for it is "bacterial SSU rRNA". It matches the Rfam family "Bacterial small subunit ribosomal RNA", at positions 30 to 386 of the family's 1533-position model. The record is from RNAcentral.
AUUGAACGCUGGCGGCAUGCCUUACACAUGCAAGUCGAACGGCAGCACGGGGGCAACCCUGGUGGCGAGUGGCGAACGGGUGAGUAACAUAUCGGAACGUGCCCUGGAGUGGGGGAUAACUAGUCGAAAGACUAGCUAAUACCGCAUACGAUCUACGGAUGAAAGUGGGGGAUCGCAAGACCUCAUGCUCGUGGAGCGGCCGAUAUCUGAUUAGCUAGUUGGNGGGGUAAAGGCCUACCAAGGCAUCGAUCAGUAGCUGGUCUGAGAGGACGACCAGCCACACUGGGACUGAGACGACGGCCCAGACUCCUACGGGAGGCAGCAGUGGGGAAUUUUGGACAAUGGGCGCAAGCCUGA